AGAGUAUUGGGUUCCAGCCCUUAACCUCCUUUAAGAUUCAGGAGUGCAGCCCUGCUGCUUCCUUCCUUUCCUAGACGCAGGGGUCCCCACCCAGGAUGCCCUCCUCCUCAGGACCCAGGAGUCCCAGAUAGCAGGUCCCUCCCCCCCCCACCCGGGAUAGAGGAGUUGAGGCCCUCAGCCCCUGUCUCUCACACCAGGGUUCUGGGUCCCCGGCUUCCUCCUCCCUCAGAAUAAGGUGUCCGGGUCUGCAGCCCUUGCCUCUGCAGCCCCUGGGCUCCAGAAGUUAUGACCCAAGCCUACUCCUAUCCCACCUCCGUCGGGCCCUUUCCCUGCUGAACUCACUCACAGGGACAGCCUCCUGACCUCCACUCUGAGCCUGCCCUCUGUGGGGCCCCUGCCCUCCCCCACCUCCAUCCAGGUCCCCAUCCCGGCCUUGGCAAUGACCCUGGCAGCUUCCUCCCAGCGUUCCCAAUUCAUUCGCUCCAAGUUCCGAUCUGUCCUCCAGCUUCGGAUCCACAGACGGAAUCAGGAGCAGAUCUCGGAUCCUGACCCGUGGAUCUCAGCCUCCAGCCCUGCUCUAGCCCCGGCCUUGCCCUCGGGCACGGCCCCUUUCCUCUUCAGCCCUGGGGUCCUGCUCCCUGAGCCCGAAUCCUGUCCUCCUUGGAGAUCCCCGAAGAAGGUGAGUCUGGACUGGAGGGAGAGGUCCCUCUGUUCCGCUUGCUACUGCUGCCAUUUU
RNAcentral lists this long non-coding RNA (736 nucleotides) under Aotus nancymaae (Ma's night monkey). Its description in RNAcentral is "lncRNA (ENSANAG00000039204.1)". The record is from RNAcentral. Lineage: Eukaryota; Metazoa; Chordata; Mammalia; Primates; Aotidae.